This is a non-coding RNA of Phascolarctos cinereus (koala), 1006 nucleotides long. NCBI's taxonomy places the organism in Eukaryota, Metazoa, Chordata, Mammalia, Diprotodontia, Phascolarctidae. The record is from RefSeq and is a predicted model, not a curated record.
ACCUCUGAUACAUAUUGGCUAUUGUAGGUGCAGCUCUAACUCAAGCACGCUUUGGGUUCAGUUUCAACACUGAGACAAAAUGAGGAACUCUCAAUCACUGAACAGCUAAAUGAGGUUUAUUUCUCCUUAACAGUAUGAAUAUGCAAUACGAAUGCAGUGAGCUCUUCUCUGGACAUGGCCCCCCUCGUCUCCAUCUGGAAGUAAACUAAGUCUCACAUUCUGGUUCAUGUGAUGUGUGAUGCCACAUCUUUGGAGUUCAAAGUGGAUCAAAAGUAAUAAUGAUGAACCAGACCAGCAUCAAGAACAUGACAGCCCCAGCACAGAUGAUGAUGCCUCCAGGGUAGUUAUAGAUUUCUUCAUCUCCAUAUGUGAAGUGGUGAUGAUGAUGAACAGAAACAGCCCCAGGAAUACCAGGGCCAUUGCACAGCAAUUUCUGACGUAGUCCACAAUUCUUCAUACCACAUUAGGGUGAUCUGUAGGUCUCUCCAGCUCAGAUAAAGAGACAUUAAAAUCUCCUACAAUUAUUGUGUUACUGUCUAUAGGGGUGUAUAGCCCUUUUCAGGGCUGCUCAUCCACUUUUGGUGUCCACCUGUCACCCUGCUCUCACCUGUGGCUCUAAUAAGCCAUAACAUGCACAAUGGCCACACACCAGUAAAACUGUCUCGGCAGAUGGAGUAAACCAAGUUGAAGGUAACCAACAGUCCUCACAGCCACCAAGGAGUUAGGAGUAUGUCUACCCCAAGCAUGUGAAGACUUCCCCUGGUAGAAUGGGCAGAUGAGAACAGCUUGCUCCAAUAGCCACUGAGGCAGCUGAAGCAUGUGCUGUGGCAUGCUUAGAGCUUUGGUUAGACAUUGAAGACUCAUCCACUGCAUCCUGAGUCAUCACCAGUUGCCUUGAUUUUUGUCCUGCUACUGGACUUGGAAGACUCUGGAAGUAAGAAUGAGGCUAAUUCAUGCACAAGUCAAGACAUCAUCUAUGAUAUCAUUGGUCUUCUCAGAAAAUGAA